RNAcentral lists this ribosomal RNA (729 nucleotides) under Candidatus Tremblayella phenacoccinincola. Its description in RNAcentral is "bacterial SSU rRNA". It matches the Rfam family "Bacterial small subunit ribosomal RNA", at positions 658 to 1382 of the family's 1533-position model. Lineage: Bacteria; Pseudomonadati; Pseudomonadota; Betaproteobacteria. The record is from RNAcentral.
GGGAUAGAAUUCCAGGAGUAGCGGUGAAAUGCGUAGAUAUCUGGAGGAAUACCAAAGGCGAAGGCAGUCCCCUGGUCCGAUACUGGCACUGAGGUACGAAAGCGUGGGGAGCAAACAGGAUUAGUUACCCUGGUAGUCCACGCCCUAAACGAUGUCGAUUAGCCAUUGGAAGGACCCCUUUUCCUUUCAGUGACGUAGCUAACGCGUUAAAUCGACCGCCUGGGAAGUACGACCGCAAGGUUAAAACUCAAAGGAAUUGACGGGGACCUGAACAAGCGGUGAAUGAUGUGGAUUAAUUCGAUGCUACGCGAAGAACCUUACCUACCUUUGACAUGGCCAAAGUUCUACCGAGAGGCGGAAGUACUCGUAAGAGGAUUGGCGCACAGGUGCUGCAUGGUUGUCGUCAGUUCGUGUCGUGAGAUGUUGGGUUCAGUCCCGCAACGAACGCAACCCUUAUCUUUAAUUGCUCCUAUUUUAACAGGCACUUUAAAGAAACUGCCAAUGAUAAGUUGGAGGAAGGUGGGGAUCACGUCAAGUCCGCAUGGCCUUUAUAGGUAGGGCUUCACACGUCAUACAAUGGUUAGAACAAAGAGCUGCAAAUUCGUAAGAAGGAGCCAAUCUCACAAACCUAACCUCAGUUCGAAUUGCGGUCUGCAACUCGAGCGCAUGAAGCCGGAAUCGCUAGUAAUCGUGGAUCAGAAUGCCACGGUGAAUACGUUCUUAGGUCUU